Molecule: ribosomal RNA, 395 nt
Filed under: uncultured bacterium
Lineage: Bacteria
Description: bacterial SSU rRNA
Rfam family: Bacterial small subunit ribosomal RNA
Source: RNAcentral
GUGUCAGCAGCCGCGGUAAUACGGAGGGUGCAAGCGUUGUUCGGAAUUACUGGGCGUAAAGCGCGCGUAGGCGGCUUGGCAAGUCGGGUGUGAAAUCCCCAGGCUCAACCUGGGAAUGGCAUCCGAAACUGCUUCGCUAGAGUCUCGGAGAGGAAGGCAGAAUUCCCAGUGUAGGGGUGAAAUCCGUAGAUACUGGGAGGAAUACCCGUAGCGAAGGCGGCCUUCUGGACGAUGACUGACGCUCAGGCGCGAAAGCGUGGGGAGCAAACAGGAUUAGAUACCCUGGUAGUCCACGCCGUAAACGUUGUGCACUAGGUGUCGGGAGUAUUCACCCUCUCGGUGCCGGAGCUAACGCAUUAAGUGCACCGCCUGGGGAGUACGGCCGCAAGGCUAAA